CCUACGGGAGGCAGCAGUGGGGAAUUUUGGACAAUGGGCGAAAGCCUGAUCCAGCAAUGCCGCGUGCAGGAAGAAGGCCUUCGGGUUGUAAACUGCUUUUGUACGGAACGAAACGGUCUGCUUUAAUACAGUGGGCUAAUGACGGUACCGUAAGAAUAAGCACCGGCUAACUACGUGCCAGCAGCCGCGGUAAUACGUAGGGUGCGAGCGUUAAUCGGAAUUACUGGGCGUAAAGCGUGCGCAGGCGGUUAUAUAAGACAGUUGUGAAAUCCCCGGGCUCAACCUGGGAAUUGCAUCUGUGACUGUAUAGCUAGAGUACGGUAGAGGGGGAGGGAAUUCCGCGUGUAGCAGUGAAAUGCGUAGAUAUGCGGAGGAACACCGAUGGCGAAGGCAAUCCCCUGGACCUGUACUGACGCUCAUGCACGAAAGCGUGGGGAGCAAACAGGAUUAGAUACCCUGGUAGUCCACGCCCUAAACGAUGUCAACUGGUUGUUGGGUGCAUUAGUACUCAGUAACGAAGCUAACGCGUGAAGUUGACCGCCUGGGGAGUACGGCCGCAAGGUUGAAACUUAAUGAAUUGACGG
Molecule: ribosomal RNA, 584 nt
Filed under: uncultured bacterium
Lineage: Bacteria
Description: bacterial SSU rRNA
Rfam family: Bacterial small subunit ribosomal RNA
Source: RNAcentral